GAGGAAAGUCCGGGCUCCAUAGGGCAGAGUGCCAGGUAACGCCUGGGGGGCGCGAGCCUACGGAAAGUGGAACAGAGAGCAGACCGCCUAAGCGCUCGCAAGAGUGCCGGUAAGGGUGAAAGGGUGCGGUAAGAGCGCACCGCGCAAWUGGCAACAGGMUGCGGCAUGGUAAACCCCACUCGGAGCAAGACCAAAUAGGAAUCCAUUGGUGCGGCCCGCAUCGGAUUCGGGUAGGUUGCUUGAGGCUAACGGUGACGUUAGAUACCCANAUGAAUGACUGUCUACGACAGAAUCCGGCUUAUGAAUUCCGACAGAACCCGGCUUA
Molecule: RNase P RNA, 325 nt
Filed under: unidentified bacterium CPA52
Lineage: Bacteria
Description: partial RNAase P
Rfam family: Bacterial RNase P class A
About the family: Ribonuclease P (RNase P) is a ubiquitous endoribonuclease, found in archaea, bacteria and eukarya as well as chloroplasts and mitochondria.
Source: RNAcentral